This 306-nucleotide long non-coding RNA is filed under the name Sorghum bicolor (sorghum). Its description in RNAcentral is "long non-coding RNA (SBIC_LNC012827)". The record is from RNAcentral. Lineage: Eukaryota; Viridiplantae; Streptophyta; Magnoliopsida; Poales; Poaceae.
CGCCCCCUUUUCCCUUUUCCAUUUUUUUUUUAAAUUUCUUUUCUCAAAUCCUCUUCCAAAAGCAUUUUGACCAUUUUCAAAUCAUUUUCACCAUUUUCACCCAAAAGCAAAGUUGUUCCAAAACAAAAACUCUACCACUUUGCUUUAACAAGCAAGACCAAAUUCCAAACAGAAUUUGAAUUACAAGUUAAAACUCAGUUCUAGGUUUUAAUUAAAUUCUUUUUGGAUAUUUUUGUAUAAAUUCCAUUUCUCAAAUUCCAUAGCUCCAAAAAUUGCACAAAAAUAUUCUAAAUUCUUCUCAUACAU